This 101-nucleotide non-coding RNA is filed under the name Caminicella sporogenes. RNAcentral's name for it is "Azaaromatic sequence". It matches the Rfam family "azaaromatic riboswitch aptamer (yjdF RNA)". RNAcentral also lists the same sequence under 1 other name. Lineage: Bacteria; Bacillati; Bacillota; Clostridia; Peptostreptococcales; Caminicellaceae. The record is from RNAcentral.
GUAGUUUGAGAUAAAAACACGAUUCGGUUGGUAGUCCGGAUGCAGAUAUAAAUCUGUCAGUAACCUUCCCUCUUGGGUUGUCCAUUCUCAAUUUAAAGCUA